GGUUGCGAUCAUACCAGCACUAAUGCACCGGAUCCCAUCAGAACUUCGCAGUUAAGCGUGUUUGGGCGAGAGUAGUACUAGGAUGGGUGACCCCCUGGGAAGUCCUCGUGUUGCAACCC
Molecule: ribosomal RNA, 119 nt
Filed under: Helianthus annuus (common sunflower)
Lineage: Eukaryota; Viridiplantae; Streptophyta; Magnoliopsida; Asterales; Asteraceae
Source: RNAcentral